CCUACGGGUGGCAGCAGUGAGGAAUAUUGGUCAAUGGGCGCUAGCCUGAACCAGCCAAGCCGCGUGAAGGAUGAAGGUGCCAAGGAUUGUAAACUUCUUUUGUAAAGGGAUAAAGUGCAGCAUGUAUACUUCUUUGAGUGUACCUGAUGAAUAAGGAUCGGCUAACUCCGUGCCAGCCGCCGCGGUAAUACGGAGGAUUCGAGCGUUAUCCGAAUUUAUUGGGUUUAAAGGGAGCGUAGGCGGGUUGUUAAGUCAGUGGUGAAAGCCUGGGGCUCAACCCCGGCCGGCCGUUGAAACUGGGGGUCUUGAGAUGUCGAGAGGUAUGCGGAAUGCGCAGUGUAGCGGUGAAAUGCAUAGAUAUUACGCAGAACUCCGAUUGCGAAGGCAGCAUACCGGCGGCGAACUGACGCUGAGGCACGAAAGCGUGGGGAUCGAACAGGAUUAGAUACCCUGGUAGUC
RNAcentral lists this ribosomal RNA (459 nucleotides) under uncultured bacterium. Its description in RNAcentral is "partial 16S ribosomal RNA". It matches the Rfam family "Bacterial small subunit ribosomal RNA", at positions 338 to 795 of the family's 1533-position model. The record is from RNAcentral.